RNAcentral lists this non-coding RNA (31 nucleotides) under Mus musculus (house mouse). Lineage: Eukaryota; Metazoa; Chordata; Mammalia; Rodentia; Muridae. The record is from RNAcentral.
UAAUCAUUUGAGAGAUUGACAUAAAAUACCC